RNAcentral lists this transfer RNA (85 nucleotides) under Felis catus (domestic cat). It matches the Rfam family "tRNA". From Rfam's summary of the family: Transfer RNA (tRNA) molecules are approximately 80 nucleotides in length. Their secondary structure includes four short double-helical elements and three loops (D, anti-codon, and T loops). Lineage: Eukaryota; Metazoa; Chordata; Mammalia; Carnivora; Felidae. The record is from Rfam by way of RNAcentral.
GCCUGGGUGGCUCAGUCGGUUGAGCAUCUGACUUCGGCUCAGGUCAUGAGCUCGCGGUCUGUGAGUUCGAGCCCCACGUCGGGCU